RNAcentral lists this long non-coding RNA (1076 nucleotides) under Bos indicus x Bos taurus (hybrid cattle). Its description in RNAcentral is "lncRNA (ENSBIXG00005006643.1)". The record is from RNAcentral. Lineage: Eukaryota; Metazoa; Chordata; Mammalia; Artiodactyla; Bovidae.
AACAGCCCUAAAAAUGCCCUUCAGUCAAGAAGUGGCCGUCCAGUCUCCAAGUUCAGGCUGUUGUAUAAUUCUCCUUCUCUCUCCCUCAUUUAUUCUUUUCUUUCUUUUCCUCUUUCCUCUUACUCUAACUUCCUAGGUGGCACAGUGGUAAAGAAGCCACCUGCAAAUACAGGAGACACAAGAGACAGGGGUUUGAUCCCUGGGUCGGGAAGAUCCCCUGGAGGAGUAAGUGUCGACCCUCUCCAGUAUUCUUGCCUGAGAAAUCCCAUGGACAGAGGAGACUGGCAGGCUAUCGUCCAUAGCGUCUCAAAGAGUCAGACACGACUGAAGCAACUUCGCAUGCACACACACUCUAGCAGGGUACAAGGACCCCAGAGGAAUAUCCUCUGUGUCCAAAAAUGCUCAAGAAAGCUUAGCUUUGGGGCUAGCACACUGUCGUUUCCACUGACAUGGCAUCAUUUCAAAACAAGCCUCCAGGUCAAGCCCAACAUCAAAGAUGAAGAAUCGCUGCACCUGCGAUGAGGCCAUGGCAGAAUGUGGGUACUAGGAAGGCUGGAGAGAAAUAUAAUCUACUGCUGCUGCUGCUAAGUCACUUCAGUCAUGUCCGACUCUGUGCGACCCCAGAGACAGCAGCCCACCAGGCUCCCCCAUCCCUGGGAUUCUCCAGGCGAGAGUACUGGAGUGGGGUGCCAUUGUCUUCUCCAUAAUCUACUGCAGUCUUGAGUAAAGUUUUGUCAAUGUAUCUUUGAAAUACAUUCCUAGAAGUGGGAUAACUGGGAUACAGAUUAAGUACACGUGUAAUUUUUCUAAAUAUCACCAAAUUCUCCUUCAUAGUACUUUAAACAUUAAAAACAAAAUCAAGAAUCAAUAUAUGAUGUUGUUGGGACUUCCCUGGUGGUCUGGUGGCUAAGACUCUGUGCACCCAGUGCUGGGGGGCCUGGCUUGGGUUCUGUCCCUGGUCAGGGAACUAGAUCCCACAUGCGGCAACUAAAGAUUCCACAGGCUAAAAAAAAAGUAAAAAAAACACAACUAAAAAAAAAGGUUCUGCAUGCUGUGAGUAAGACCCAACACAGCCA